Molecule: ribosomal RNA, 268 nt
Filed under: uncultured archaeon
Lineage: Archaea
Description: partial 16S ribosomal RNA
Rfam family: Archaeal small subunit ribosomal RNA
Source: RNAcentral
AGUCACUGACAUUAGAUACCUGCGUAGUCCAGGGUGUAAACGCUGCAGACUUGGUGUUGGAAGCCCGUUUGGGGGCAUUCAGUGCCGGAGAGAAGUUGUUAAGUCUGCUACGUUGGGGAGUACGUCCGCAAGGAUGAAAACUUAAAGGAAUUGGCGGGGGAGCACCGCAACGGGAGGAGCGUGCGGUUUAAUUGGAUUCAACACCGUAAAACUCACCAGGGAAGACUGUUACAUGAAGGCCGAGAUGAAGACUCUGCUAGAUUUUCAG